This 485-nucleotide ribosomal RNA is filed under the name uncultured Nitrospira sp. RNAcentral describes it as "bacterial SSU rRNA". It matches the Rfam family "Bacterial small subunit ribosomal RNA", at positions 9 to 492 of the family's 1533-position model. The record is from RNAcentral. Lineage: Bacteria; Pseudomonadati; Nitrospirota; Nitrospiria; Nitrospirales; Nitrospiraceae.
GAGUUUGAUCGUGGCUCAGAAUAAACGCUGGCAGCGUGCCUAACACAUGCAAGUCGAGCGAGAAAGUUCCUUCGGGAACUAGUAAAGCGGCGAACGGUUGAGUAACACGUGAGAAUCUACCCUUCAGUGAGGAAUACCACCGAGAAAUCGGUGUUAAUACUGCAUACGUCCCUUCGGGGAGAAAGGUGGCUUUAAUGCUGCCGCUGAUGGAUGAGCUUGCGAGCUAUCAGUUAGUUGGUGAGGUAAUGGCUCACCAAGGCUAUGACGGCUAUCCGGCCUGAGAGGGUGUACGGACAGACUGGGACUUAGACACGGCCCAGACUCCUACGGGAGGCAGCAGUGGGGAAUAUUGCGCAAUGGGCGAAAGCCUGACGCAGCGACGCCGCGUGAAGGAUGAAGGUCUUCGGAUUGUAAACUUCUGUUAAGUGGGAAGAAAGAUGCAUUUUUAAUAGAAAUGUGUGAUGACGGUACCGUAAGAAGAAGCA